RNAcentral lists this ribosomal RNA (497 nucleotides) under uncultured bacterium. RNAcentral's name for it is "partial 16S ribosomal RNA". It matches the Rfam family "Bacterial small subunit ribosomal RNA", at positions 28 to 507 of the family's 1533-position model. The record is from RNAcentral.
GAUGAACGCUGGCGGCGUGCCUAAUACAUGCAAGUCGAGCGAACGGACGAGAAUUUUGCUUCUCUGAUGUUAGCGGCGGACGGGUGAGUAACACGUGGAUAACCUACCUAUAAGACUGGGGUAACUUCGGGAAACCGGAGCUAAUACCGGAUAAUAUUUUGAACCGCAUGGUUCAAAAGUUAAAGACGGUCUUGCUGUCACUUAUAGAUGGAUCCGCGCUGCAUUAGCAAGUUGGUAAGGUAACGGCUUACCAAGGCAACGAUGCAUAGCCGACCCGAGAGGGUGAUCGGCCACACUGGAACUGAGACACGGUCCAGACUCCUACGGGAGGCAGCAGUAGGGAAUCUUCCGCAAUGGGCGAAAGCCUGACGGAGCAACGCCGCGUGAGUGAUGAAGGUCUUCGGAUCGUAAAACUCUGUUAUUAGGGAAGAACAUAUGUGUAAGUAACUGUGCACAUCUUGACGGUACCUAAUCAGAAAGCCCCGGCUAACUACGUG